UAGGGAAGGCCCCUAGUAACCGAUGACUUAGGCAUAGGUUACAAACCACCUUAAGCUGCAUGGGUAAAGAGCCCAUGUGGUGAGCGUUAAGGAAAAGGUAUAGCAAGACUAUAUCAGGU
Non-coding RNA from Neochlamydia sp. EPS4, 119 nucleotides. Lineage: Bacteria; Pseudomonadati; Chlamydiota; Chlamydiia; Parachlamydiales; Parachlamydiaceae. The record is from Rfam.